UUGCAUGAUGACACUUUGUGUUUGUUGGGU
This 30-nucleotide non-coding RNA is filed under the name Rattus norvegicus (Norway rat). The record is from RNAcentral. Lineage: Eukaryota; Metazoa; Chordata; Mammalia; Rodentia; Muridae.